RNAcentral lists this unclassified non-coding RNA (276 nucleotides) under Hevea brasiliensis (rubber tree). Lineage: Eukaryota; Viridiplantae; Streptophyta; Magnoliopsida; Malpighiales; Euphorbiaceae. The record is from RNAcentral.
GCUCACCAUUUUCAUCCCUCAAACAGCAACCAAAUUCUAUCUUAUCAUCACAAAUGCAGAAAGCUAAAAUAUGCUUUUCCUUCUCAAGUCACCAAACAAACAUAACAAACUAAACCCUGAAUUCAAAACUCCAGAAAAUCCCAGCAGAUUCUUUUCGUCAACUCUUUAGUUUUCAAAAUCAAACUUCACUAAGAAAUAGAAUUCCUAAUCUUGGAACCAAUUCAUCAACCAUUAAAGACUCUAACUUACCAUUCUACUAGUUUUAGCCCAACAAAA